Molecule: ribosomal RNA, 468 nt
Filed under: uncultured bacterium
Lineage: Bacteria
Description: partial 16S ribosomal RNA
Rfam family: Bacterial small subunit ribosomal RNA
Source: RNAcentral
GACGAACGCUGGCGGCGUGCUUAACACAUGCAAGUCGAACGGAAAGGCCCUGCUUUUGUGGGGUGCUCGAGUGGCGAACGGGUGAGUAACACGUGAGUAACCUGCCCUUGACUUUGGGAUAACUUCAGGAAACUGGGGCUAAUACCGGAUAGGAGCUCCUGCUGCAUGGUGGGGGUUGGAAAGUUUCGGCGGUUGGGGAUGGACUCGCGGCUUAUCAGCUUGUUGGUGGGGUAGUGGCUUACCAAGGCUUUGACGGGUAGCCGGCCUGAGAGGGUGACCGGCCACAUUGGGACUGAGAUACGGCCCAGACUCCUACGGGGGGCAGCAGGGGAGAAUAUUGCACAAUGGGCGGAAGCCUGAUGCAGCAACGCCGCGUGCGGGAUGACGGCCUUCGGGUUGUAAACCGCUUUCGCCUGUGACGAAGCGUGAGUGACGGUAAUGGGUAAAGAAGCACCGGCUAACUACGUG